Molecule: long non-coding RNA, 311 nt
Filed under: Androctonus crassicauda
Lineage: Eukaryota; Metazoa; Arthropoda; Arachnida; Scorpiones; Buthidae
Source: RNAcentral
GGGGUAUUGGUUGUAUGUCCUAGAGCGAUUGAGGCAAAAUAUUGAAAAGAAAAAAAGGAAAUGUGCAUUGGAGACGCGGGCCUGCGAUCUCAUCGCCUCUGCGAAGCGGGCGACUUGGCCGGCUCCGCUGCGCCGACGGGCGUCGAAGGGCGUUGCGUUUCAUGUGUGUGUUCUGUAUCGCUGGAUGGGCCCGGCUUUGUGCCCAAGUUUCUCGUGGACAAGGGCCCAUUCGCUCAAGCCCCUUUAGGGUUUUUAUCAUCUAUAUACAAGCUACCGAGUGGGCCAUGACUCAUUCGGAGAACGAUUUGGAG